AGUCGGAUAGCUCAGCGGUAGAGCAAUUGCUUGAUAAGCGAUUGGUCGGGUGUUCAAGUCACCCUCCGACUACCA
RNAcentral lists this transfer RNA (75 nucleotides) under compost metagenome. RNAcentral's name for it is "tRNA-Ile". It matches the Rfam family "tRNA". Rfam says of the family: Transfer RNA (tRNA) molecules are approximately 80 nucleotides in length. Their secondary structure includes four short double-helical elements and three loops (D, anti-codon, and T loops). The record is from RNAcentral.